This 1855-nucleotide long non-coding RNA is filed under the name Homo sapiens (human). RNAcentral's name for it is "HSALNT0198554". Lineage: Eukaryota; Metazoa; Chordata; Mammalia; Primates; Hominidae. The record is from RNAcentral.
GAGAUCUCAACAGCAGUAGUGGAAGCCAGAAGGCAAUGGAACAGUGGCUUUUAAAAUUUUAAAGGAAAAUGUUUUCCAUCUUAAAAUUACAUAAGCCCAACUGUAAAUCAAGCAUGAGGACAUAUAAUGGCAUUUUUAAAUGUACAAGUUCUCAAACUUUUUUUUUUUGGCUCUUACAGCCUCUUGCAGAAAGCUAACAAAAGAUGAGUUCCACCAAAAGGAGCAGUUUAUUCCAAUAAAGAGGAAGACAUGGGGUAAAAGAAAAGAGAAAUCAGAACAGGAAGAGGCAAAGCAUGGGUGAUGAGAAAUCCCAAGACCAGCUGUGUGCCCAGUGCAGACAAGAAGUCCAGUGUAGAGGAAAUUAGAAGAGAUGGCUCUAGAAAAAUGAAAUUAAUAGAUCACCUGAUGUAUCCGAAAGUCUUGAGGGAAAACUUAGACAAUUUGGGAAAUUUUUGAGUGGAAUUAAUAAAAAGACCAAAAAAAAAUCAAGAGAAAAAGAUUAUUAACUCCAAGAAAAACAAAAGUUUAUUCAGAGACAAAAAAUGAUCAUAAUUUACUACAUGGAUGGCACCACUGUGACUAGCAUUUACAUGUAAAUGGUGAAUAUUGAGGUAAUUAUUCUACAACAGAACUAUUUUGGGAGUUGGGAGAAUAGGAAGAGUCUGCGUGGUGGUAGAGGGGGCGGAAGCAACAGUCAAAUGAUCAGCUUUUGCAGGAGAGAGAUCACCUACAACUGAAAAGGUGAAAAGUAGAAAGACAAGCAGCCAUUCAGAGAAAUGGAGGUAAAACUUCCUUACUUGCUGAAAGUAGGAAAAGUGGUGUCUCUGGGAGGAGAAAAUAAGGGGAAAGGGGGGGUAGAGCCUAUUGUUUUUCACAACCAGCUUGUUCGCUUAAACUCUGGUUAUGUAUAACUUUGGUAAAAACUAAGGCAAGCAUAUGCAAAAAUAUUCAAACUAACAGAGGAAUUAGCAUUGAGAGCAUUUGCUCCCGGUACCAUAAAACCUGGAGUUUCCAACAAAAUUUCUGUCCAAACUGGCUUCAAUUAGGAAAAAAACAAAAAUUUAGACAUAUACUUAAAGUCAUGGGAGUUAGAAAUUACUGGAGUUUUCUGGAACUGCAAAUCUUCUGGAAGUAAUAAAAAUUAAGAAAGAUACUGGAAGCGAAAAGUAGAGUGGCUCAUAUGAGUUUUAAAGAGCUGAAAUUAUUUUAUGAAAAUAUGAAUUGUAAUUGUGGGUUGGCUGAUGUCUUCAGUGCCUAAGCACAAGUGUUUUCACAUAAGGCAAACCAUGUGAUAGGUUAUUUCUCUCCACAGUAAAGGAUGACCUUGGACCCACAUAAGGGUUGAUGUUGAGACUUGGGCUAUAUUUGACCAUUCUUCAAUUUACUUCUAAUUUGUGAUUAGAAAUGAUCUAAACUCCAGACAUGCCCAGGAGUUCUAAAUCUCAGUUUUCAAGAAAGAAAAUUCAGUCUGGCGAGUUACAAGUGACAGGCGGUUCAAGAAGGAAUCGUCAGGGACUUGCAACCCUCUGGGUGGCUGAGAAGAAAAACAAUCACUAAGAACCAGGAAUCAAAGACUAGUUAGUCACUGUCUUAUUAUGAAGUAGUAAGAACAAGAAACUCAUCACACAAACGACUGUCUGGCCCUACAGUGACUGACGGUGCACUCUGCUCCCAUCUCUUGGGGUUUUAGUGAAUUGUACUUUGCCAGCGAAGUUGGGAAAAUGCAUAAAAACAAUCUCAUCCCAUCUUGGGUGGGCAGGACAAUCAGAAAGAAAAUAUAAUAAACCAAUUCAUGGGAAUGGUAGGGGAGCAUCCUGUAACGUUCAAAGCCAGCACACAUGAGCCAGGAUGUCAG